AGUGAACGCUGGCGGUAGGCCUAACACAUGCAAGUCGAACGGCAGCACAGUAAGAGCUUGCUCUUACGGGUGGUGAGUGGCGGACGGGUGAGGAAUACAUCGGAAUCUACUUUUUCGUGGGGGAUAACGUAGGGAAACUUACGCUAAUACCGCAUACGACCUACGGGUGAAAGCAGGGGUUCUUCGGACCUUGCGCGAUUGAAUGAGCCGAUGUCGGAUUAGCUAGUUGGCGGGGUAAAGGCCCACCAAGGCGACGAUCCGUAGCUGGUCUGAGAGGAUGAUCAGCCACACUGGAACUGAGACACGGUCCAGACUCCUACGGGAGGCAGCAGUGGGGAAUAUUGGACAAUGGGCGCAAGCCUGAUCCAGCCAUACCGCGUGGGUGAAGAAGGCCUUCGGGUUGUAAAGCCCUUUUGUUGGGAAAGAAAAGCAGCAGGUUAAUACCCCGCUGUUCUGACGGUACCCAAAGAAUAAGCACCGGCUAACUUCGUG
Molecule: ribosomal RNA, 492 nt
Filed under: uncultured bacterium
Lineage: Bacteria
Description: partial 16S ribosomal RNA
Rfam family: Bacterial small subunit ribosomal RNA
Source: RNAcentral